Molecule: ribosomal RNA, 253 nt
Filed under: uncultured bacterium
Lineage: Bacteria
Description: partial 16S ribosomal RNA
Rfam family: Bacterial small subunit ribosomal RNA
Source: RNAcentral
GACGUAGGGCGCGAGCGUUGUCCGGAUUUAUUGGGCGUAAAGAGCUCGUAGGCGGCUUGUCGCGUCGACUGUGAAAACCCGCGGCUUAACUGCGGGACUGCAGUCGAUACGGGCAGGCUAGAGUUCGGUAGGGGAGACUGGAAUUCCUGGUGUAGCGGUGAAAUGCGCAGAUAUCAGGAGGAACACCGGUGGCGAAGGCGGGUCUCUGGGCCGUAACUGACGCUGAGGAGCGAAAGCGUGGGGAGCGAACAGG